GUAAACUGCUUUAGCCAGGGGCUAAACCUAACGGUUGCGUUGGUAGCUGAAGGUACCUGGAGAAUAAGCAUCGGCUAAUUCCGUGCCAGCAGCCGCGGUAAUACGGAGGAUGCGAGCGUUAUCCGGAUUUACUGGGUUUAAAGGGUGCGCAGGCGGUUGUUUAAGUCAGGGGUGAAAGCCCUAUGCUCAACAUAGGGAUUGCCUUUGAUGCUGAACGGCUAGAGUGAAGAUGGAGUGGGUGGAAUGUGUUGUGUAGCGGUGAAAUGCAUAGAUAUAACACAGAACACCGAUCGCGAAGGCAGCUCACUAAUUUUCAACUGACGCUCAUGCACGAAAGCGUGGGGAUCAAACAGGAUUAGAUACCCUGGUAGUCCACGCUGUAAACGAUGAUCACUAGCUGUUGGUACGCUGAAGUAUCAGUGGCUAAGCGAAAGUGAUAAGUGAUCCACCUGGGGAGUACGACCGCAAGGUUGAAACUCAAAGGAAUUGACGGGGGCCCGCACAAGCGGAGGAGCAUGUGGUUUAAUUCGAUGAUACGCGAGGAACCUUACCAGGGCUCGAACGCAGGGGGGAUAUACCUGAAAGGGUAUAGCCAGCGAUGGUCGCCUGCGAGGUGCUGCAUGGUUGUCGUCAGCUCGUGCCGUGAGGUGUCAGGUUAAGUCCUAUAACGAGCGCAACCCCUAUCCAUAGUUGCCAGCGGGUAAAGCCGGGGACUCUAUGGGAACUGCCUGCGCAAGCAGAGAGGAAGGAGGGGAUGACGUCAAAUCAGCACGGCCCUUAUGUCCUGGGCUACACACGUGCUACAAUGGUCGGUACAGAGGGCAGCGACCACGUGAGUGGGAGCCAAUCCUUAAAAGCCGAUCUCAGUUCGGAUUGGAGUCUGCAACCCGACUCCAUGAAGUUGGAUUCGCUAGUAAUCGCGCAUCAGCCAUGGCGCGGUGAAUACGUUCCCGGGCCCUGUACACACCGCCCGUCAAGCCAUGGGAGCUGGGGGUACCUGAAGUUCGUGACCCGCGAGGGAGCGACCUAGGGUAAACUCAGUGACUGGGGCUAAGUCGUAACAAGGUAGCCGUAGAAUCG
This 1080-nucleotide ribosomal RNA is filed under the name uncultured Bacteroidota bacterium. RNAcentral describes it as "bacterial SSU rRNA". It matches the Rfam family "Bacterial small subunit ribosomal RNA", at positions 425 to 1510 of the family's 1533-position model. The record is from RNAcentral. Lineage: Bacteria; Pseudomonadati; Bacteroidota.